RNAcentral lists this ribosomal RNA (455 nucleotides) under uncultured bacterium. RNAcentral's name for it is "SSU rRNA". It matches the Rfam family "Bacterial small subunit ribosomal RNA", at positions 26 to 518 of the family's 1533-position model. The record is from RNAcentral.
AGGAUGAACGCUGGCGGCGUGCCUAAUACAUGCAAGUCGAGCGGUAAGGCCCCUUCGGGGGUACACGAGCGGCGGACGGCUGAGUAACACGUAGGAACGUACCCCAAAGUGAGGGAUAAGCACCAGAAAUGGUGUCUAAUACCGCAUGUGCUCUUCGGAGGAAGGCUUCGGCGCUUUGGGAACGGCCUGCGCAUGAUUAGCUUGUUGGUGAGGUAAUGGCUCACCAAGGCGACGAUCAUUAGCUGGUCUGAGAGGAUGAUCAGCCAGACUGGGACUGAGAACGGCCCAGACUCCUACGGGAGGCAGCAGUAGGGAAUUUUCCACAAUGGGCGAAAGCCUGAUGGAGCAACGCCGCGUGCAGGAUGAAUGCCUUCGGGUUGUAAACUGCUUUUAUAUGUGACGAAUAUGACGGUAGCAUAUGAAUAAGGAUCGGCUAACUCCGUGCCAGCAGCCGC